Molecule: ribosomal RNA, 338 nt
Filed under: uncultured Pelotomaculum sp.
Lineage: Bacteria; Bacillati; Bacillota; Clostridia; Eubacteriales; Desulfotomaculaceae
Description: bacterial SSU rRNA
Rfam family: Bacterial small subunit ribosomal RNA
Source: RNAcentral
GGUGCGAUGGUUGUCGUCAGCUCGUGUCGUGAGAUGUGGUUAAGUCCGCAACGAGCGCAACCCUACGUUAGUUGCUAACGCGUGAAGGCGAGCACUCUAGACGAACUGCCGUUGACAAAACGGAGGAAGUGGGGAUGACGUCAAAUCAUCAUGCCCCUUAUGUUCUGGGCUACACACGUGCUACAAUGGCCGGUACAGACGGACGCAAAGCCGCGAGGCGGAGCAAAUCCGAAAAAGCCGGUCUCAGUUCGGAUUGCAGGCUGCAAUUCGCCUGCAUGAAGUCGGAAUCGCUAGUAAUCGCAGGUCAGCAUACUGCGGUGAAUACGUUCCCGGGCCUU